This 429-nucleotide ribosomal RNA is filed under the name Chloroflexota bacterium. Its description in RNAcentral is "Chloroflexi bacterium partial 16S ribosomal RNA". It matches the Rfam family "Bacterial small subunit ribosomal RNA", at positions 355 to 776 of the family's 1533-position model. Lineage: Bacteria; Bacillati; Chloroflexota. The record is from RNAcentral.
UGGGGAAUAUUGCACAAUGGGCGCAAGCCUGAUGCAGCCAUGCCGCGUGUGUGAAGAAGGCCUUCGGGUUGUAAAGCACUUUCAGCGGGGAGGAAGGCGGUGAGGUUAAUAACCUCAUCGAUUGACGUUACCCGCAGAAGAAGCACCGGCUAACUCCGUGCCAGCAGCCGCGGUAAUACGUAGGUGGCAAGCGUUGUCCGGAUUUAUUGGGCGUAAAGCGAGCGCAGGCGGUUUCUUAAGUCUGAUGUGAAAGCCCCCGGCUCAACCGGGGAGGGUCAUUGGAAACUGGGAGACUUGAGGGCAGAAGAGGAGAGUGGAAUUCCAUGUGUAGCGGUGAAAUGCGUAGAUAUAUGGAGGAAAACCAGUGGCGAAGGCGGCUCUCUGGUCUGUAACUGACGCUGAGGCUCGAAAGCGUGGGGAGCAAACAGG